GCUGCGUCGAGUACGUUCAAUUGCCUACAAGGGGAUUGCGCGGGUCGAUAAUGCGUGACAACUGCGAGGGCGAAUCGAAGGUGCUCCGAGCUCUUGUUUCAGCAUCGUAUCAUCGCCAAGGCGGCCAGGCCGUUGUUGGCGCUCUCUCUAUGCGUGUCUGGCGGGGCAUGCCCGGGGGUGCAGAUUUUCGUUUUGCUGCCCGCGAUUUUUCGCGGAAUGCUGAGCGACGGCUUGUGCUCUCAGGCAUCGCGUACGUGAUGACGCGUGAGUGGUGAUUGGUGCGUGUCGGCAUGUCGGUUCCCUGCUCGGGCAGCGACGACAUCCCGGCCGCGCCUCUUCAGUCGUUGGCACAAGUGCGUCCGCCUUGUCCGACAUCGGCUUCCUGUGUUCAAUACCUGACGCAAAGGCAUUUCGUCGGCAAGAUUGUCCCCUUUCCGCCCUGCCCUGCUGCACCGUUCGGUGUCGCGGGACGGGGUGGAACCAAAAGCAAAUGCCGUUGUCCUCCCUCGUGUGUCGUUAUAACGGCCCUCGGGUUGCAGGCCCACGGCGUGAUGCUCGAUCUCUCGGAUGCGGAACAUCGGGUGGGCACGAGGCCACGACCUCUAUUUGCCCCACGAAGAUAAGCGUUCCGCGCUACGUGCGAACGACGGUCGUUUCGAUUGUGAUCGGGUCCUCAUGGAUCGGGUCACGUCGAGGCGACGUCGAUGAGGAA
This 712-nucleotide unclassified non-coding RNA is filed under the name Pityrodia hemigenioides. Its description in RNAcentral is "partial external transcribed spacer". The record is from RNAcentral. Lineage: Eukaryota; Viridiplantae; Streptophyta; Magnoliopsida; Lamiales; Lamiaceae.